GUAUGGGUCCAAGCGUUAAUCGGAAUUACUGGGCGUAAAGCGAGUGUAGGCGGUUCACCAAGUCUGUUGUGAAAUCUCCCGGCUCAACUGGGAGGGUGCGGCGGAUACUGGUGGACUAGAGUGCGAGAGGGGAGAGUGGAAUUCCUGGUGUAGCGGUGAAAUGCGUAGAUAUCAGGAGGAACACCGGUGGUGAAGACGGCUCUCUGGAUCGUGACUGACGCUGAGACUCGAAAGCGUGGGGAGCAAACAGGAUUAGAUACCCUGGUAGUCCACGCCCUAAACGAUGCAUACUUGGUGUGGGCUCUUCAUUGAGUCCGUGCCGGAGCUAACGCGUUAAGUAUGCCGCCUGGGGAGUACGGUCGCAAGGCUG
RNAcentral lists this ribosomal RNA (370 nucleotides) under uncultured bacterium. RNAcentral's name for it is "bacterial SSU rRNA". It matches the Rfam family "Bacterial small subunit ribosomal RNA", at positions 526 to 896 of the family's 1533-position model. The record is from RNAcentral.